GAGUCAAAAAAAAGUUCUCCUAUAAUUAUACAGCAUCUAAGAUACUUGCAAAUUGUUAAAAUUUCAACAAAUUUGUCAUUGACAUUUCAGAUAAUUCUUGUAUCAUACGUUUUACUUAUACGUUAUAGAAAACGAGUAUAUAAAUUGAAUUGUUUUAAAUUGUCACCUAUUACAUAUUUCUUCCUAUAUUGUUUGUAUAAACAGUAUAAUGUCAAGUCUGGAGUAACAUGUGUACACAUCAUUGCAUUGUAAUAAAAGGCAUUGAACAAUCGAGAUAGAAAUUACAGGAGAUAAGAAAACUAAUUAGUUAUUUCGUUUUGAGGAUUGUUACUUAUUCUCCAGAUUUUUAGAUAAAUGAUGAACUGGUGUACUGUUUCAGGAUUUUAUGAACGUCUUACCAGGGUCAAUUAUUUUUAUAAACCUUAUUGACAUUAUUCGUUCAAUGGAACUACUUAACAGAUAGUGCUGUGAAUUGUAUUUAAAGAAAUUGAUAAUAUUCAAUAAAAUAAUUGCAUCAAA
Phymastichus coffea is the source of this 519-nucleotide long non-coding RNA. RefSeq lists it as uncharacterized. The record is from RefSeq and is a predicted model, not a curated record. Lineage: Eukaryota; Metazoa; Arthropoda; Insecta; Hymenoptera; Eulophidae. The transcript is spliced from 3 exons.